AGAGUUUGAUCAUGGCUCAGGAUGAACGCUGGCGGCGUGCCUAACACAUGCAAGUCGAGCGGUAUAUAGUGGAAUGAAACUUCGGUCGAGUGAAGCUAUAGAGAGCGGCGGGCGGGUGAGUAACGCGUAGGCAACCUGCCCCAUACAGAGGGAUAGCCUCGGGAAACCGGGAUUAAAACCUCAUAACGCGAGGAGUUCACAUGGACUACUCGCCAAAGAUUUAUCGGUAUGGGAUGGGCCUGCGUCUGAUUAGCUAGUUGGUGAGGUAACGGCUCACCAAGGCGACGAUCAGUAGCCGACCUGAGAGGGUAAUCGGCCACAUUGGAACUGAGACACGGUCCAAACUCCUACGGGAGGCAGCAGUGGGGAAUAUUGCACAAUGGGCGAAAGCCUGAUGCAGCAACGCCGCGUGAGCGAUGAAGGCCUUUGGGUCGUAAAGCUCUGUCCUUGGGGAAGAAACAAAUGACGGUACCCUUGGAGGAAGCCCCGGCUAACUACGUGCCAGCAGCCGCGGUAAUACGUAGGGGGCGAGCGUUAUCCGGAAUUAUUGGGCGUAAAGAGUGCGUAGGUGGCCAUGUAAGCGCGGGGUGAAAGGCAAUAGCUUAACUAUUGUAAGCCUUGCGAACUGUGUGGCUUGAGUGCAGGAGAGGAAAGUGGAAUUCCUAGUGUAGCGGUGAAAUGCGUAGAUAUUAGGAGGAACACCAGUGGCGAAGGCGACUUUCUGGACUGUAACUGACACUGAGGCACGAAAGCGUGGGGAGCAAACAGGAUUAGAUACCCUGGUAGUCCACGCCGUAAACGAUGAGCACUAGGUGUCGGGGUCGCAAGACUUCGGUGCCGCAGUUAACGCAUUAAGUGCUCCGCCUGGGGAGUACGCACGCAAGUGUGAAACUCAAAUGAAUUGACGG
RNAcentral lists this ribosomal RNA (908 nucleotides) under uncultured bacterium. RNAcentral's name for it is "bacterial SSU rRNA". It matches the Rfam family "Bacterial small subunit ribosomal RNA", at positions 8 to 916 of the family's 1533-position model. The record is from RNAcentral.